Polyodon spathula (Mississippi paddlefish) is the source of this 127-nucleotide small nucleolar RNA. RefSeq annotates it as small nucleolar RNA SNORA68. The record is from RefSeq and is a predicted model, not a curated record. Lineage: Eukaryota; Metazoa; Chordata; Actinopteri; Acipenseriformes; Polyodontidae. The transcript has a single exon.
UCUACACACAACCCUAAGAUGAUUAUUUUCAUCUAAAUGCACCUGCCUGGUGUGCAAAGAGAAUCUGUACUUUGUCGCCUUUCAUAUGCUGCUGUGCUACUGAAAAUGAAUUCAAGGUUCAGCAGUG